AGCCUUGUGCAGUGACAGGAUCAUAGCCAAUGAGGUUUAGCCAAGGCAUGAUUAUUGCUAAUUGAAAACUUUUCCCAAUACCCCACUGUGACAACUUACAAUGUAGUCAGCUUUGGCAAUUUUUGACAGUCUCUACAGGGA
This is a small nuclear RNA of Otolemur garnettii (small-eared galago), 141 nucleotides long. Its record names the gene U4. It matches the Rfam family "U4 spliceosomal RNA". Rfam says of the family: U4 small nuclear RNA (U4 snRNA) is a component of the major U2-dependent spliceosome. The structure of U4 snRNA from yeast and human has been reported. Lineage: Eukaryota; Metazoa; Chordata; Mammalia; Primates; Galagidae. The record is from Ensembl.